AGCAAUGCCAUCUCCAACUGAUUUGGUCAUGGAACCAGUUUUUUUUUUUUUUUUCCGUACUAAUACUAGUCAAACAUAACUAAGCCAAUAUAGGGGCAUACAAAAACAUCAGAACAAUCAUUGUUUUCUAAAAUAAUAACGUUCUACCAAAUCCAUAAGAGAUGGUCUAUCUGCAUCAUGUGAUUGACCCUUGGGUCGAGGCAUACUUGUUUGAUGGAUUUAAUCUGGUGAAUACUUGUUUGUCUUUAGGUCACCGGAAUUCUACUAACA
Molecule: long non-coding RNA, 270 nt
Filed under: Salvia miltiorrhiza (redroot sage)
Lineage: Eukaryota; Viridiplantae; Streptophyta; Magnoliopsida; Lamiales; Lamiaceae
Description: long non-coding RNA (SMIL_LNC003111)
Source: RNAcentral